GAUGAACGCUGGCGGCGUGCCUAAUACAUGCAAGUCGAGCGAACAGACGAGGAGCUUGCUCCUCUGACGUUAGCGGCGGACGGGUGAGUAACACGUGGAUAACCUACCUAUAAGACUGGGAUAACUUCGGGAAACCGGAGCUAAUACCGGAUAAUAUAUUGAACCGCAUGGUUCAAUAGUGAAAGACGGUUUUGCUGUCACUUAUAGAUGGAUCCGCGCCGCAUUAGCUAGUUGGUAAGUUAACGGCUUACCAAGGCAACGAUGCGUAGCCGACCUGAGAGGGUGAUCGGCCACACUGGAACUGAGACACGGUCCAGACUCCUACGGGAGGCAGCAGUAGGGAAUCUUCCGCAAUGGGCGAAAGCCUGACGGAGCAACGCCGCGUGAGUGAUGAAGGUCUUCGGAUCGUAAAACUCUGUUAUGAGGGAAGAACAAAUGUGUAAGUAACUAUGCACGUCUUGACGGUACCUAAUCAGAAAGCCACGGCUAACUACGUG
RNAcentral lists this ribosomal RNA (497 nucleotides) under uncultured bacterium. RNAcentral's name for it is "partial 16S ribosomal RNA". It matches the Rfam family "Bacterial small subunit ribosomal RNA", at positions 28 to 507 of the family's 1533-position model. The record is from RNAcentral.